GACAGAGGGGGCAAGCGUUGUUCGGAAUCAUUGGGCGUAAAGGGCGCGUAGGUGGUUCUGUAUGUCUACCGUGAAAGCAUACAGCUCAACUGUAUUUUGUCGGUAGAAACUGCAGGACUUGAGGCUGGGAGGGGCUGGUGGAAUUCCCUGUGUAGCGGUGAAAUGCGUAGAUAUCUGGAGGAACACCGGUGGCGAAGGCGGCGUCCUGGACCAACACUGACACUGAUGAGCGAAAGCCAGGGGAGCAAACGGG
RNAcentral lists this ribosomal RNA (253 nucleotides) under uncultured bacterium. RNAcentral describes it as "partial 16S ribosomal RNA". It matches the Rfam family "Bacterial small subunit ribosomal RNA", at positions 524 to 776 of the family's 1533-position model. The record is from RNAcentral.